Non-coding RNA from Stegodyphus mimosarum, 73 nucleotides. The record is from Rfam. Lineage: Eukaryota; Metazoa; Arthropoda; Arachnida; Araneae; Eresidae.
GCCUUCGUGGUUUAGUGGUCAGCACGCUCGACGCGUAUGCGAGAGGUCCGUGGUUCGAGUCCCGGCGAGGGCA